This 471-nucleotide ribosomal RNA is filed under the name uncultured bacterium. RNAcentral's name for it is "SSU rRNA". It matches the Rfam family "Bacterial small subunit ribosomal RNA", at positions 26 to 518 of the family's 1533-position model. The record is from RNAcentral.
AGGACGAACGCUGGCGGCGUGCUUAACACAUGCAAGUCGAGCGGAAAGGCCCUUCGGGGUACUCGAGCGGCGAACGGGUGAGUAACACGUGAGUAAUCUGCCCCUAGCUCUGGGAUAGCUCCGGGAAACCGGGAUUAAUACCGGAUACGACCACCUUAGACAUCUUUUGUGGUGGAAAGAAUUUCGGCUAGGGAUGAGCUCGCGGCCUAUCAGCUUGUUGGUGGGGUAACGCCUACCAAGGCGACGACGGUAGCCGGCCUGAGAGGGCGACCGGCCACACUGGGACUGAGACACGGCCCAGACUCCUACGGGAGGCAGCAGUGGGGAUAUUGCGCAAUGGGCGAAAGCCUGACGCAGCGACGCCGCGUGGGGGAUGAAGGCCUUCGGGUUGUAAACCCCUUUCAGCAGGGACGAAGCGAAAGUGACGGUACCUGCAGAAGAAGCGCCGGCUAACUACGUGCCAGCAGCCGC